UACGUAGGGGGCUAGCGUUGUCCGGAAUCACUGGGCGUAAAGCGAGUGUAGGCGGUGUGGUAAGUCGGAUGUGAAAGCCCCGGGCUCAACCCGGGAAGUGCACUCGAUACUGCCACGCUAGAGUAUCGGAGAGGUUGGUGGAAUUCUCGGUGUAGAGGUGAAAUUCGUAGAUAUCGAGAGGAACACCGGUGGCGAAGGCGGCCAACUGGACGAAUACUGACGCUGAGACUCGAAAGCGUGGGGAGCAAACAGG
This 253-nucleotide ribosomal RNA is filed under the name uncultured bacterium. RNAcentral describes it as "partial 16S ribosomal RNA". It matches the Rfam family "Bacterial small subunit ribosomal RNA", at positions 524 to 776 of the family's 1533-position model. The record is from RNAcentral.